This 469-nucleotide ribosomal RNA is filed under the name Odontobutis obscura. RNAcentral describes it as "partial 12S ribosomal RNA". It matches the Rfam family "Bacterial small subunit ribosomal RNA", at positions 868 to 1527 of the family's 1533-position model. The record is from RNAcentral. Lineage: Eukaryota; Metazoa; Chordata; Actinopteri; Gobiiformes; Odontobutidae.
CUCGCCAGGGAACUACAAGCACUAGCUCGAAACCCAAAGGACUUGGCGGUGCUUUAGAACCACCUAGAGGAGCCUGUUCUAUAACCGAUACUCCCCGUUUAACCUCACCCUUUCUUGCCACUACCGCCUAUAUACCGCCGUCGUCAGCUUACCCUAUAAGGGCCCCAUAGUAAGCGAAACUGGUAAAACCUAACACGUCAGGUCGAGGUGUAGCACACGAAAGGGAAAGAAAUGGGCUACACUCCCUGACUCAGGGUAUACAAACAAUAAUUUGAAAUAAUUAUCUAAAGGUGGAUUUAGCAGUAAGGGAGAAUACAGAGAGUUCCCCUGAAACCGGCCCUGAAGCGCGCACACACCGCCCGUCACUCUCCCCAAAUCUAUACUGUAACCCCAACAUAUAAAAAAUAUUCCACAAAGGGGAGACAAGUCGUAACAUGGUAAGUGCACCGGAAGGUGUACUUGGAAAAAC